UAUUUAAAUAGUUUAAGAAAAAUAUUAGUUUGUGGAACUUAUGUUAUGACUUUUUCAUUUUAGAUA
Molecule: transfer RNA, 66 nt
Filed under: Nicrophorus nepalensis
Lineage: Eukaryota; Metazoa; Arthropoda; Insecta; Coleoptera; Silphidae
Description: tRNA-His
Source: RNAcentral